Molecule: unclassified non-coding RNA, 247 nt
Filed under: Hevea brasiliensis (rubber tree)
Lineage: Eukaryota; Viridiplantae; Streptophyta; Magnoliopsida; Malpighiales; Euphorbiaceae
Source: RNAcentral
GCCUUCUCCUCAUUAAUAUACACUUGUUUAUUACCACCAAAAAAUGCCUCUUGUGGAUUACAUGAUAAUGCAUCCAUAAAUCCACAUGAACCUUCAACCUCCCUUUUAUCCAUAAUCAUACUUACAGACAUUUUUAUUGUUGUUUUCCCUUAUGCUUGCAAUCAAAAUUAAAAUUCAAAACCAAGAAAUGGUUUUUCAAAGAAAAGGCUAGAAAGAAAAACAAAUCUUCACCAUAGGAGAAUUCUUG